UACGUAGGGGGCGAGCGUUGCCCGGAUUCAUUGGGCGUAAAGGGCUCGUAGGCGGUUUGUCGCGUCGGGAGUGAAAUCCACUGGCUUAACUGGUGGCUUGCUUUCGAUACGGGCAGACUGGAGGUAUGCAGGGGAGAACGGAAUUCCUGGUGUAGCGGUGAAAUGCGCAGAUAUCAGGAGGAACACCGGUGGCGAAGGCGGUUCUCUGGGCAUGUCCUGACGCUGAGGAGCGAAAGUGUGGGGAGCGAACAGG
Molecule: ribosomal RNA, 253 nt
Filed under: uncultured bacterium
Lineage: Bacteria
Description: partial 16S ribosomal RNA
Rfam family: Bacterial small subunit ribosomal RNA
Source: RNAcentral